CGUCAAGAAUAAAAGAAAAAUUUAAAGGUCAAACAAUUUGACAAAAAACAAUGUAAUAUUGAAAAAUAUUUUUCGGACAGUGUAAAACUAUUCCAAGCGCGAUUAUUCAUUAGUCGUGUUUGUUAGAGUUUUAUAAGAUGCUGUCCGUCCACAGAGUCGCAGGACUCAGCCGGCGGGUUACUAUGUGGCGACUGAAGAAGUUGGUCGCGCAGAUGGGCUCUGCUGUCAACGAUCAACUUUACCUGCCUACAUCAAAUCCUGAUGUUGCGAAGAACGUCAAUAGUCAACUCUCAUUGCAUUCAAAAGUUGCAGUAGUAGAAAAUCCCCCUGCCGCCUUGAAGGAGGUAGCCCAGUUCCACUCAGUCACGGAUAUAUUCACAUCGCCGGAAUGGCGCAGCCUUCAGUUCGUUUGAUUUCUUUUGAAUAAACAAUUAACAAUAUUGAAUGUUGAUCAUUGAAAAA
Molecule: long non-coding RNA, 462 nt
Organism: Papilio xuthus (Asian swallowtail)
Lineage: Eukaryota; Metazoa; Arthropoda; Insecta; Lepidoptera; Papilionidae
Exons: 2
Source: RefSeq, a predicted model, not a curated record